CCUAAACCUCUUGGGGACGUGGCAGAACUUGUGCUUAAAGGACUACAUGCUAUUAUUCAGAAGCAUGAACACAUGAUAUUGCAAACUAUUCUAGUGCACACAUACGCACACACACACCCCUACACAGGAGUCAACACCUCACCCUGAACAUUUUUACAUUAUUGGCAUGUUGCAGAGCACGUUCUGCUUCUCCACAUUUUAAUUCUGAGCUACAGCUAAUCAAAGCACAGGCUCCAUCCUUGGCAGCAGCAGAGCCCAGAUGUGCAGUUCCUGGAAGGAAUCGCUCCCACAGUGUCAUCUGGCUAUCACCUCCCCUCGCCUGGUUUCUCCAGCGGAUUCCAAAGUGGCGAUGCUGUGUAUCAUGCCAGUUUCACCUACGUUCACACCAUUCUUUUGUAAACGGGAGUACCUGGUUCACUUUACACGUUUCUAAACUGAGAAGGAAGAAAUCACAGCAUCCAGACUUCCAUUAGAGGGUCACUUCUCCCCUGCUGUGUGCGGUCUUGGUGACCCUAUAAAUCAAGGUGCCCAACCCUCUUCUUCUAAGGGCUGGGCACACGACUAAAUUCCAGCUGCUUUAGCUCCAUUCUCUCUCCCUCUCCUUCCCUCCUUCUCCUUCUUUUUCUCUCUCUUUCCUUCUUCUAAGACUUUGAGUCUUGAGAAAACGACGAAAGAACAAGGAAAACAGUUGGAAUGCAUGUUCACUGGCUGUGCCCUCCAAGACUGGGGAGAAGUUCCUGGUGCUUAAACCCUCAGGUAUCUCUCGUCGACCACACUACUGGAAAUCAGUAUCACAACCACAGGGCCUGAAUCACAGCUGUAUGACCUCAACCAAUUGAUGAAAAACAGAGGAGAGAAAAGAGGAAAAGAUGUGGAGGAGAUUCGCCUUAGAAGCUGCAGCCUUAAACUGGGGAUCUGACUGCCUACAGCGGAAGGCAGGUGAUGUGGCUGGUUCCAACAACUCUUGCCUUCUCCCUCUUCAAGACCCGGCAAACCUGAUUGAGACAAUCGGGGAGAAGGAAGGGGACAUUGUUUACUAUUGUCUCAUUUCUUGAUUUGCUGCUCCCAUGGACCGAUCUCCACUGGCUGUUUUUUCUUCUCUGGGUGGUCACGAGUGGCCUCUUGGGCCUCAUCCAAUGUUGACUCCCCAUGACAUGCUGGCUUGAGUUCUCUGGGAGGGGCCACGUGGGGCUGCCCCUACAGCAGUUAUCUGACAUGGUGAUCUGGGCCAGUGUAUUAGUUCGCUAGAGCUGCCAUAACAAAGUACUACAGACUGGGUGGCUUAACCAACAGAAACUUACUGUCUCAGGGUUCUGGAGGCUAGAAGUCUGAGGUCAAGAUGUCAGGGUUGGUUCCUUGGCUUGUGAAAGCCUCACCCCAAUCCUGGCCUUUAUGUUUGCAUGGCAUUCUCCCUAUGUGUAUGUGUUUCAGUGUCCAAAUUCCCCCUUUAUAUAAGGACACUAGUCAUACUGGAUUACAGCCUACCCCAACAACCUCAUCUUAACUAAUUACAUCUGCAACAAUUCUAUUUCCAAAUAAAGUCACAUUCUGAGGUACUGGGGGUUAGGACUGCGACAUAUCCAUUUUGAGAAGACACAAUUCAACCCAUAACAGUCAACAUCAACCAUUUCCAUGCCAACCAGCCCCUCUCCAAGCUCUUACAUCUAUUAGAGUACGCACUGCAGGCAAUGAAAGGGCACACGGGAUGUACCCUUCCCACUGACCCCUACAUUGUUACACCAGUGUUUAUGGCAGGACUUCAGUAGCUAGGCUCUGGAACUCCCUGUCCUCCCAGUGGAAGGAGGUGCCUUGUAUACACCCAGCUUGAACUCACGUGCUUUGUGAUUCUAAGUGACUGAGCCUGUCAUACCUCCAAGCAGAGAUUCCCAUAGGAAGUCUACUUAAGUCCCAAAACUUUACUUAACAUUUCAUAUUUACUAACCCCUUUUUCCAAUUCUGGUUGCCCUGAAAUGAUUCUCACAAAGUAAAUAUUUUACUGCCCCUCUCCCAGGAGCUUGUCUGUCUGGAAAGUAGGAGAAGUGCAUGGGAAGAGAAAAAACGGCAACCAGGCAGCUUAGCGAUGCUUUGGUUAAUUUCCUUAAAGGCAAAUGCAGGCCUUCAUCUGCUCUGGGUUGCCCAACGUGACACGAGGACUUAUUUGAUUCUCUCUUUGCAGACCCUAUCUUGUUUUUUUAUGUCUUCAUUUUAAAAUGUCUUCUUUCAAUGUAUUGCCCUAUGUUCUUAUAAUUUAGAAAAUUGAUUCCAGGAUAAUUGGUUUUCCAGUAAAACACAAUGGCAGGUUUUGAGACAGAAGCUUAAUUGAGAGGGAGAAUCACAACCCCAGACCCCAUAUGCCUGCCCCAAAUAAUUGAUAUCUUCCAUGAUAGGCACUUCUGGGCAUAAGAAUUAUAUUUUUUCAACUCAAAAAAGGGUAGAGAAAAGCAAACCCAGAGGAAGCUGAUUUUUUUCUCAGCUCCUAGCAGAAAUGAUAUAAUCCUGGCCAGUUUCAACAUUUCUCCAAAGCAGUGGUUCUUAAAAUAUAUUCCUUG
RNAcentral lists this long non-coding RNA (2549 nucleotides) under Equus caballus (horse). RNAcentral describes it as "lncRNA (ENSECAG00000043819.1)". The record is from RNAcentral. Lineage: Eukaryota; Metazoa; Chordata; Mammalia; Perissodactyla; Equidae.